ACUCCAGCAGACUAAGCUAUGUUGAAGCUACUGUAUUUCCAGGAAUGCCUUCAUACUAUGGACAAAGGAUAAUACAUCAGUCCAUAUACAAUAGGCAUUGUAUAAAAUCAAUAUUUCCCACCUAGAAACUUGAUCAGAGGCAUUGUAUAAAAUCACUAUUUCCCACCUAGAAACUUGAUCAGAGGUGCAGCUAUAGGUUUGUAUAAAAUCAUUUGUAUAUUGAACAUGUAUCUUUGCGACACAGAUAAAUACUCAACAUAAUCAGAAA
Rosa rugosa (rugosa rose) is the source of this 268-nucleotide long non-coding RNA. RefSeq lists it as uncharacterized. The transcript has 2 exons. NCBI's taxonomy places the organism in Eukaryota, Viridiplantae, Streptophyta, Magnoliopsida, Rosales, Rosaceae. The record is from RefSeq and is a predicted model, not a curated record.